RNAcentral lists this ribosomal RNA (409 nucleotides) under Latilactobacillus sakei. RNAcentral describes it as "bacterial SSU rRNA". It matches the Rfam family "Bacterial small subunit ribosomal RNA", at positions 89 to 484 of the family's 1533-position model. Lineage: Bacteria; Bacillati; Bacillota; Bacilli; Lactobacillales; Lactobacillaceae. The record is from RNAcentral.
GAGUGAGUGGCGGACGGGUGAGUAACACGUGGGUAACCUGCCCUAAAGUGGGGGAUAACAUUUGGAAACAGAUGCUAAUACCGCAUAAAACCUAACACCGCAUGGUGUAGGGUUGAAAGAUGGUUUCGGCUAUCACUUUAGGAUGGACCCGCGGUGCAUUAGUUAGUUGGUGAGGUAAAGGCUCACCAAGACCGUGAUGCAUAGCCGACCUGAGAGGGUAAUCGGCCACACUGGGACUGAGACACGGCCCAGACUCCUACGGGAGGCAGCAGUAGGGAAUCUUCCACAAUGGACGAAAGUCUGAUGGAGCAACGCCGCGUGAGUGAAGAAGGUUUUCGGAUCGUAAAACUCUGUUGUUGGAGAAGAAUGUAUCUGAUAGUAACUGAUCAGGUAGUGACGGUAUCCAACC